GUGUCAGCCGCCGCGGUAAUACAGAGGUCCCGAGCGUUGUUCGGAUUCAUUGGGCGUAAAGGGUGCGUAGGCGGCGGAGUAAGUCAGAUGUGAAAUCCCGGAGCUCAACUCCGGAACUGCAUUUGAUACUGCUUUGCUAGAGUACUGGAGAGGAGACUGGAAUUUACGGUGUAGCAGUGAAAUGCGUAGAGAUCGUAAGGAAGGCCAGCGGCGAAGGCGAGUCUCUGGACAGUUACUGACGCUGAGGCACGAAGGCCAGGGGAGCAAACGGGAUUAGAUACCCCAGUAGUCC
Molecule: ribosomal RNA, 292 nt
Filed under: uncultured bacterium
Lineage: Bacteria
Description: partial 16S ribosomal RNA
Rfam family: Bacterial small subunit ribosomal RNA
Source: RNAcentral